CCAAUCUCUCCGAAUGCAUCUUCUUCACUAUUCUUUCAAUUAUUUUCCUUAAAAAGAAAAAAAAAAUUCUCUCUCUCCAUACAACAACACUUUCUCUCUCUCUAUAGAUCCGAUCAUCGUCUUCUUUCGAUCACCGUCUUCUCUCAACCAUCGUCUUCCUCCAAUCACCAUCUUCUUCAACUGUCUUCUCCAGAUGCGAUAAGAUUAGAGUUAAAGGUGGAGGUAGAGGUGGAGGUGGUGGUGCGAGACGCUAGUGUGGGUAUAAUGGUGGCG
Molecule: long non-coding RNA, 273 nt
Filed under: Olea europaea (common olive)
Lineage: Eukaryota; Viridiplantae; Streptophyta; Magnoliopsida; Lamiales; Oleaceae
Description: long non-coding RNA (OEUR_LNC003319)
Source: RNAcentral